Molecule: long non-coding RNA, 1321 nt
Organism: Passer domesticus (house sparrow)
Lineage: Eukaryota; Metazoa; Chordata; Aves; Passeriformes; Passeridae
Exons: 4
Source: RefSeq, a predicted model, not a curated record
UCAUCUUGCAGCGGAGGGUGGAAACGUUGGAGGGUUGUUUGCAGGCGCUUGUAUUAAUCAUCCGGGCUAACACACCAUUAACGUCCUCCUGCAUUUUAAAGAUGACAAAUUUUAUUUGACUUCUCUCAAUCACGGUUCCCGGGCGGAUUCGGGAGCCACUUAAAUGCCUCGGAUUUUCCAUCGUUAGCUGUUACAAGCCCUGCACGGCACAGGCCACUUACAGCCACAUCCAGCUGGGAGCUGUCACCUCGAGCCCCGCACCAGAGUCACCUCCAGCUGCCAAGCCAGUUCUGCUCUCAGAGGCCUCGGGGGACGGUGGCAAAAACCCUUGGGAAACUGAGGCAGAGUCUGCUUCAAGGAGAGCUGCAGAGAGCUCUCUGUCUGGGGGAUUCUUUUCCUCCUGGCAAUGUGAGGAGCGAGAGAACCUGCAGAAGUGAACGGAAUCAAGCUGCACUGCUGGGCUGCUUAAUUCUGCACCAGCACCACAGGAGCAACUCCCAGUGAGGUACAUCUGUCAGAGCCCCGUGGAAGGAGCAGGAGGAAUUGGGGGUGAACACAGGGCUGUGCCUGGAUGUUCCUGUUCCCAGCAGCAAACCACAGCAUCUCCUCUGCCCACACCCCUCCUGUGCCGCCCCUGUGGCGACACACAGGAUGACUGCAACCAUUGCCCCUCAAGAAAUACCAUCUAUUUAUGGCCAAACAGCCACUGUCUUGCGUGGAUAAAUCAAAAGGAAAACAAAGCUUUACGGAAAAAAGUAUUAAAUUUUCCGUGUGCUCCUGAAGGGACGGGCCAGGCGCUCACUGUUUAUUUUUUGGGCUCUCUCUUUGCUAGUACUGUAAGUGACAUUGUGUUUACAAAAGUUUUUAUGUCAUCAGAGCAAAGUCACAGCUCAGCUUCCUCUCCUGUGUAUUUUAUGUAGAUGGAUGUGUCUGUGAGGAACAUUCAAACUAAACAGAAAGCUGGUUUAUAGGAAAAUGUAUUUAUUUGAAAAAUCGUAACUCACAAUUUUGGCAAAACCGGGUUCCACAUUUAUUGCUGCUAAUGGGGUGUGGCGGCCAUAAAUUAACCUGGAAAAUUGCUGCAGCCAUUUCAACAAUGGCUCAUUGUGCUGAUGGAGCAGCAGCUCCUCAAAGAUGGCUCAUGUCAAUUGGCGAUUAGGUUUGGAUGCAAACAACAGGUAAAGGGAAGGUAACAGCAGCCUCACCACUGGAACCAGCCCCAAAAUCAUUGCUCUAGGCUGGCAUGGGUGCCCUGAGUCUCACUUAAAGCAGAGCUGUUCCCUCAUCUGAUUGCCAUGGAAGUCAGUGGAAGGAGGCUCCA